Molecule: ribosomal RNA, 253 nt
Filed under: uncultured bacterium
Lineage: Bacteria
Description: partial 16S ribosomal RNA
Rfam family: Bacterial small subunit ribosomal RNA
Source: RNAcentral
UACGGAGGGGGCUAGCGUUGUUCGGAAUUACUGGGCGUAAAGCGCACGUAGGCGGCUUUGUAAGUUAGAGGUGAAAGCCCGGGGCUCAACUCCGGAAUUGCCUUUAAGACUGCAUCGCUAGAAUUGUGGAGAGGUAAGUGGAAUUCCCAGUGUAGAGGUGAAAUUCGUAGAUAUUGGGAAGAACACCGGUGGCGAAGGCGGCGACCUGGUUCAUUACUGACGCUGAGGCGCGAAAGCGUGGGGAGCAAACAGG